This 142-nucleotide long non-coding RNA is filed under the name Mustela putorius furo (domestic ferret). RNAcentral's name for it is "lncRNA (ENSMPUG00000031013.1)". The record is from RNAcentral. Lineage: Eukaryota; Metazoa; Chordata; Mammalia; Carnivora; Mustelidae.
CCGGUGGGUGGGGGGUGGGGGGUGGGGCGGGGUCGGGGGUCCGGAGCUGGAGGAUGCACACUUCCCUUAUCUCUCGAUGGUAAAGAAACUAAGGCCCAAGGACCUUAGGAGAGAUGUACAAGAUCAUGUGGCUACACAGUGA